GAGAGAGAGAGAGAGAGAGAGAGAGAGAGAGAGAGGGAGAGAGAGAGACAGAGAGAGAGAGACAGAGAGAGAGAGACCAACAUGAAAACUAUUUUAGUCCGUUCACACAAUUCUACAUAUCUUUACACUGUGUGUGUGUGUGUGUGUGUGUGUGUGUGUGUGUGUCUGUGCAUACACACAAUAUUAAUGUCUGUCUUGAUUUAGUAAUAUUCGCUCCUAAUAAAAAUAAUUCUGUCAUUUGAUAAUUCUUUAAAUCAUAUGGAUGUCUCAUGAAUAUUAAUGAGUGGGGCGUGGUCAGAUUGUGUGUUUAUGUGUGUGUGGAGAGGUUGUGGUGAUGUGGGAUUAAUUACAGCUGUGAUUGUGUAUUUAUUACUAUGUAAUAAAGAUGUUACUAACAGCA
Molecule: long non-coding RNA, 400 nt
Organism: Tachysurus fulvidraco (yellow catfish)
Lineage: Eukaryota; Metazoa; Chordata; Actinopteri; Siluriformes; Bagridae
Exons: 2
Source: RefSeq, a predicted model, not a curated record